Molecule: long non-coding RNA, 690 nt
Organism: Bos taurus (domestic cattle)
Lineage: Eukaryota; Metazoa; Chordata; Mammalia; Artiodactyla; Bovidae
Source: Ensembl
GGGAGGGAAGGAAUUCGGCUACCAGCAUUGCUUGGCCAAUUCAGCCCAUGAACUGGUUACUGCAGGUGGUUUUCACGGGUGCGGGGAAAUUACAGUCCCAGACUCAAGCCUGUAUCAGUAAACACCACCGCCUCAGGCCGGCCGCUUCAAUUCCGCUGGACCCCUGGCAGUUCAAACAGGGCACCUGGGUCAGUCUGUGAGCUUAGCAGGCAUGGCUGACAAAUGUGGAAAGGAGCAGAGUGGGCAGCUUUUGUCCAGACUGACCCCGGGAAAAAAAGACUUUGCAAUUUUGGGAACUCUUCAAAUACCACCAUUCCUGUGAACCCCAUUACCCUUAGGAUAAAAUCUACAGUCCUUAACUAGCCUCUGAUGGUCUGCACGAUGGAGCCCUACCCACCUCGUCAACUCUUGCUCCUGCCACUGGCCCCUGCAACCUACUGCAUCAACCACAAGUGCUGCCACUCAGGUUUCCGAGUUCUCUGAGCUCUGCUCCACUUCUGCCUGAACUGGUGCUGGGCCCUCCUCCCAGGGCUCUUACCUGGCAAUUCCUCCUUAUCCUUCUUGUUUCGGGUUGAAUGUUAUCUGCAGAGGCUUGGCUAGGUCUCUCAUUAUGAUCUCCUGGGGCCCUUAGCACAAUCAUAAAUAGUUAAUUAUUGGUGACUAUCGGUUUGAAAGGGGUUUCCCUGGUGG